Molecule: ribosomal RNA, 253 nt
Filed under: uncultured bacterium
Lineage: Bacteria
Description: partial 16S ribosomal RNA
Rfam family: Bacterial small subunit ribosomal RNA
Source: RNAcentral
UACGUAGGGUGCAAGCGUUGUCCGGAAUUAUUGGGCGUAAGGAGCUCGUAGGCGGUUUGUCGCGUCUGCUGUGAAAACUCGGGGCUUAACCCCGGGCCUGCAGUGGGUACGGGCAGACUAGAGUGCGGUAGGGGAGACUGGAAUUCCUGGUGUAGCGGUGAAAUGCGCAGAUAUCAGGAGGAACACCAACGGCGAAGGCAGCUCGCUGGGACGGUACUGACGCUAAGGCGCGAAAGCGUGGGGAGCAAACAGG